This 870-nucleotide ribosomal RNA is filed under the name uncultured archaeon. RNAcentral describes it as "bacterial SSU rRNA". It matches the Rfam family "Archaeal small subunit ribosomal RNA", at positions 4 to 882 of the family's 1478-position model. The record is from RNAcentral.
CUGGUUGAUCCUGCCAGACCCGACUGCUAUCGGAUUGGGACUAAGCCAUGCGAGUCAACUCCGCAAGGGGUGGCGCACGGCUCAGUAACACGUAGUCAACCUACCCUGGGGACGGGGAUAACCUCGGGAAACUGAGGCUAAACCCCGAUGGGCCAUGGCUCCUGGAACGGGCUAUGGCUGAAAUCUACAUGGCCCCAGGAUGGGACUGCGGCCGAUCAGGUUGUUGGUGGGGUAAUGGCCCACCAAGCCUAUAACCGGUGCGGGCUCUGAGAGGAGGAGCCCGGAGAUGGGCACUGAGACAAGGGCCCAGGUCCUAUGGGGCGCAGCAGGCGCGAAACCUCCGCAAUGGGCGAAAGCCCGACGGGGUCAGUCCGAGUGGUUCCCGCUGAGGGAACCUUUUGCCAGCUGUAAACAGGCUGGCGAAUAAGGGGUGGGCAAGUUUGGUGUCAGCCGCCGCGGUAAUACCAGCACCCCGAGUGGUCGGGACGAUUAUUGGGCCUAAAGCAUCCGUAGCCGGCCCAGUAAGUCCUCCGUUAAAUCCAACGGCUCAACCGUUGGGCUGCGGGGGAUACUGCUGGGCUAGGGGACGGGAGAGGCGAGGGGUAUUCCCGGGGUAGGGGUAAAAUCCACUGAUCCCGGGAGGACCACCAGUGGCGAAGGCGCCUCGCUAGAACGUGCCCGACGGUGAGGGAUGAAAGCUGGGGGAGCGAACCGGAUUAGAUACCCGGGUAGUCCCAGCCGUAAACGAUGUAGGCUCGGUGUUGGGCUGCCUCAGUGGCAGCCCAGUGCCGCAGGGAAGCCGUUAAGCCUACCGCCUGGGGAGUACGGCCGCAAGGCUGAAACUUAAAGGAAUUGGCGGGGGAGCACCAC